Molecule: non-coding RNA, 266 nt
Filed under: Blautia sp.
Lineage: Bacteria; Bacillati; Bacillota; Clostridia; Lachnospirales; Lachnospiraceae
Description: T-box sequence
Rfam family: T-box leader
About the family: Uncharged tRNA acts as the effector for transcription antitermination of genes in the T-box leader family.
Source: RNAcentral
AGAAAGGCGUUGAGAAGAGAUAGUAAGCGUGUCCGAAUGUUCCAGAGAGAAGCCGGGUGGUGCGAGGCUUUAUUUAGGGGCGCUGAACCGGUCUUUGAGCUGCGGGCUGAAAGGUGACGAGUAGGUUUUGACGGGUAUCCUCCGUUAUGGGGAUGGAGUAUCGGAUGGCCAUGAUUUAUGAGGAUCGGCGUCCCGUACUUGUGGAGUGCAGAAUGAAGAUUCUGAAAUCAGGUGGUAACACGGAUAUUUGUUUAUUCGCCCUGAAC